RNAcentral lists this ribosomal RNA (466 nucleotides) under uncultured bacterium. Its description in RNAcentral is "bacterial SSU rRNA". It matches the Rfam family "Bacterial small subunit ribosomal RNA", at positions 917 to 1382 of the family's 1533-position model. The record is from RNAcentral.
GGGCCCGCACAAGCGGUGGAGCAUGUGGUUUAAUUCGAUGCAACGCGAAGAACCUUACCAGGUCUUGACAUCCUACGAAUACUUAGGAAACUAGGUAGUGCCUUCGGGAGCGUAGAGACAGGUGGUGCAUGGUUGUCGUCAGCUCGUGUCGUGAGAUGUUGGGUUAAGUCCCGCAACGAGCGCAACCCUUGCUAUUAGUUGCUAACAUUUUAAGAUGAGCACUCUAAUGGGACUGCCCGUGACAAGCGGGAGGAAGGUGGGGAUGACGUCAAAUCAUCAUGCCCUUUAUGAUCUGGGCUACACACGUGCUACAAUGGGUGGUACAGAGAGCAGCGAAGUCGCGAGGCGGAGCGAAUCUCAUAAAGCCACUCUCAGUUCGGAUUGCAGUCUGCAACUCGACUGCAUGAAGUCGGAAUCGCUAGUAAUCGCGAAUCAGCACGUCGCGGUGAAUGCGUUCCCGGGCCUU